This 253-nucleotide ribosomal RNA is filed under the name uncultured bacterium. RNAcentral describes it as "partial 16S ribosomal RNA". It matches the Rfam family "Bacterial small subunit ribosomal RNA", at positions 524 to 776 of the family's 1533-position model. The record is from RNAcentral.
UACGUAGGGGGCUAGCGUUGUCCGGAUUUAUUGGGCGUAAAGAGCGUGUAGGCGGCCAUGUAGGUCCGGUGUGAAAACUCGAGGCUUAACCUCGAGAUGUCAUCGGAAACCAUUUGGCUAGAGUCCGGAAGAGGAGAGUGGAAUUCCUGGUGUAGCGGUGAAAUGCGCAGAUAUCAGGAGGAACACCAAUGGCGAAGGCAGCACUCUGGGACGUGACUGACGCUGAGACGCGAAAGCGUGGGGAGCAAACAGG